Molecule: ribosomal RNA, 890 nt
Filed under: Salmonella enterica
Lineage: Bacteria; Pseudomonadati; Pseudomonadota; Gammaproteobacteria; Enterobacterales; Enterobacteriaceae
Description: partial 23S ribosomal RNA
Rfam family: Bacterial large subunit ribosomal RNA
Source: RNAcentral
GUGAAGAUGCAGUGUACCCGCGGCAAGACGGAAAGACCCCGUGAACCUUUACUAUAGCUUGACACUGAACAUUGAGCCUUGAUGUGUAGGAUAGGUGGGAGGCUUUGAAGUGUGGACGCCAGUCUGCAUGGAGCCGACCUUGAAAUACCACCCUUUAAUGUUUGAUGUUCUAACGUGGACCCGUUACCCGGGUUGCGGACAGUGUCUGGUGGGUAGUUUGACUGGGGCGGUCUCCUCCUAAAGAGUAACGGAGGAGCACGAAGGUUGGCUAAUCCUGGUCGGACAUCAGGAGGUUAGUGCAAUGGCAUAAGCCAGCUUGACUGCGAGCGUGACGGCGCGAGCAGGUGCGAAAGCAGGUCAUAGUGAUCCGGUGGUUCUGAAUGGAAGGGCCAUCGCUCAACGGAUAAAAGGUACUCCGGGGAUAACAGGCUGAUACCGCCCAAGAGUUCAUAUCGACGGCGGUGUUUGGCACCUCGAUGUCGGCUCAUCACAUCCUGGGGCUGAAGUAGGUCCCAAGGGUAUGGCUGUUCGCCAUUUAAAGUGGUACGCGAGCUGGGUUUAGAACGUCGUGAGACAGUUCGGUCCCUAUCUGCCGUGGGCGCUGGAGAACUGAGGGGGGCUGCUCCUAGUACGAGAGGACCGGAGUGGACGCAUCACUGGUGUUCGGGUUGUCAUGCCAAUGGCACUGCCCGGUAGCUAAAUGCGGAAGAGAUAAGUGCUGAAAGCAUCUAAGCACGAAACUUGCCCCGAGAUGAGUUCUCCCUGAGACUUAGAGUCUCCUGAAGGAACGUUGAAGACGACGACGUUGAUAGGCCGGGUGUGUAAGCGCAGCGAUGCGUUGAGCUAACCGGUACUAAUGAACCGUGAGGCUUAACCUUACAACGCCGAAG